Molecule: ribosomal RNA, 456 nt
Filed under: uncultured organism
Description: partial 16S ribosomal RNA
Rfam family: Bacterial small subunit ribosomal RNA
Source: RNAcentral
ACUCCUGCGGGAGGCAGCAGUGGGGAAUAUUGCACAAUGGGCGCAAGUCUGAUGCAGCGACGCCGCGUGGGGGAUGAAGGCCUUCGGGUUGUAAACUCCUUUCGCUAGGGACGAAGCUUUUUUGUGACGGUACCUAGAUAAGAAGCACCGGCUAACUACGUGCCAGCAGCCGCGGUAAUACGUAGGGUGCGAGCGUUGUCCGGAAUUACUGGGCGUAAAGGGCUCGUAGGUGGUUUGUCGCGUCGUCUGUGAAAUUCUGGGGCUUAACUCCGGGCGUGCAGGCGAUACGGGCAUAACUUGAGUGCUGUAGGGGUAACUGGAAUUCCUGGUGUAGCGGUGAAAUGCGCAGAUAUCAGGAGGAACACCGAUGGCGAAGGCAGGUUACUGGGCAGUUACUGACGCUGAGGAGCGAAAGCAUGGGUAGCGAACAGGAUUAGAAACCCGUGUAGUCCCAUG